AUGCUUUCACAACUUGACUUCAAAAUAUUUGGUUUGGAGACCAUCAAAGAUCAAUAUGUGCAUGAUGCUGAUUUUAAAGAUGUAAUGCAGAAUUGUAAAGAAGGAAGAAUGUGGAACAAGUUUGUUGUUAACGAUGGAUUUGUGUUUCGUGCUAACAAGCUAUGCAUUCCAGCUAGCUCCGUUCGUCUUUUGUUGUUGGAGGAGGCGCAUGGAGGAGGAUUAAUGGGACACUUUGGCGUGAAGAAGACGGAGGACGUACUUGCUACACAUUUCUUUUGGCCAAAGAUGAGACGGGAUGUUGAGCGGGCUGUUUUGAAGAAUAAUAAGAAAAUGUGGGAGGAAUGCUUGCCUCAUAUUGAAUUUGCUUAUAAUCGUUCAUUGCAUUCUACUACUAAGAUGUGCCCUUUUGAAGUUGUGUAUGGUUUCCUACCUCGUGCACCUAUUGAUUUGUUGCCUCUUCCAUCUUCGGAGAAGGUUAAUUUUGAUGCUAAACAACGUGCUGAAUUGAUUUUAAAAUUGCAUGAGUUAACUAAGGAAAACAUUGAGCGUAUGAAUGCUAAAUAUAAACUUGCUGGAGAUAAGGGUAGAAAACAUGUUGUGUUUGCACCUGGAGAUCUUGUUUGGUUACAUUUGCGUAAGGAUAGAUUUCCUGAUUUGCGCAAAUCAAAGCUAAUGCCACGUGCUGAUGGUCCCUUUAAGGUGUUAGAGAAAAUAAAUGAUAAUGCAUAUAAACUUGAGCUGCCUGCAGAUUUUGGGGUUAGUCCCACUUUUAACAUUGCAGAUUUGAAGCCUUAUUUGGGUGAGGAAGAUGAACUUCCGUCGAGGACGACUUCAUUUCAAGAAGGGGAGGAUGAUGAGGACAUCAAUACAAUUGUUACACCCACAGCCCCUGCUGCUAUACAUACUGGACCAAUUACUAGAGCCCGUGCACGCCAGCUAAAUUACCAGGAAACAGACCCUCGUGGUCAGGUUGAUCGUGCUCCGGCGUGGUCAAUAACCUCUCGGAGUUGGUUUAGCGAUUGCUAA
This 1026-nucleotide ribosomal RNA is filed under the name Triticum aestivum (bread wheat). Its description in RNAcentral is "partial small subunit ribosomal RNA". Lineage: Eukaryota; Viridiplantae; Streptophyta; Magnoliopsida; Poales; Poaceae. The record is from RNAcentral.